RNAcentral lists this ribosomal RNA (380 nucleotides) under Bacillus cereus. RNAcentral's name for it is "bacterial SSU rRNA". It matches the Rfam family "Bacterial small subunit ribosomal RNA", at positions 36 to 390 of the family's 1533-position model. The record is from RNAcentral. Lineage: Bacteria; Bacillati; Bacillota; Bacilli; Caryophanales; Bacillaceae.
CGCCCGGCGGCGUGCCUACAUACCUGCCAAGUCGAGCCGAACUGGCCUAAUAGAGCUUGCUCUCUACUGAAAGUUAGCGGCGGAACGGGUGAGUAACACGUGGGUAACCUGCCCAUAAGACUGGGAUAACUCCGGGAAACCGGGGCUAAUACCGGAUAACAUUUUGAACCGCAUGGUUCGAAAUUGAAAGGCGGCUUCGGCUGUCACUUAUGGAUGGACCCGCGUCGCAUUAGCUAGUUGGUGAGGUAACGGCUCACCAAGGCAACGAUGCGUAGCCGACCUGAGAGGGUGAUCGGCCACACUGGGACUGAGACACGGCCCACACUCCUACGGGAGGCAGCAGUAGGGGAAUCUUCCGCAAUGGACGAAAGUCUGACGGA